Glycine soja is the source of this 1634-nucleotide long non-coding RNA. RefSeq lists it as uncharacterized. Lineage: Eukaryota; Viridiplantae; Streptophyta; Magnoliopsida; Fabales; Fabaceae. The record is from RefSeq and is a predicted model, not a curated record. The transcript has 3 exons.
GCGACCAAAUAUAAUAAGGAUCGGAUUUAACCAUGCUUGCACUCAAGACUCAGAGUGCAUUUUGUGUUUAAUUAAUCUAAUAAAAUAACCCAAAUUUCGAAUGGGGUAAUCCUUCCGAGUUCUGAGAAUGAGAUGUUGCUAAAUGUUUCAGAUGUUGUCGACAAGUAUGAGGUUCAACUUAUUAGGGCACUACGAACAUACUCUGGGCAUUGAAAACUGGUUUGUCCCUCGAACAUUUUCCGCACCAUAUGGUCCCACAUUCUUAGAUGCCUAAUCAUUGGAAAAGGCUACUUUGGCUCUACUUGAUGAAUUCGAGAAAGUCCUCUAAGGACAUCUAUGUAAGGAUUAAGGACACCCCAGUCUAGUACUCGAGUCUUUUCCGGAAGUAAGCCAAUCUAAUUGCUUAUUCUCUAAUAACUACCACUCUGUUUGAUGCAGCAUUUUACAAAUUCUACAACUGCCUUCUCAUUUCCAUAGUUACUUCUGAGCCAUAAAAAAAUCUAUCGCUGUCUGGCUGAGUUUAUUUACUGUAUUGUUUGUUUGUUACUAUUUUAUGAUCAAUUAUUGCUUUUGUUGUCUGAAACUUGUUCUACCAACAUGAGAGAAAGAUAAGUUGAAAUUUGCAGCACGAACAAGAAAGUGUGAUACUGUGAUCUGAUACACCCGGAGUGACCAUGCAUUAAGUUUUUUUCGGUUUGUGACAUAUCAAACAAGUUUUUAAUUUUUCUUAGUGAUUAAAAGAUUAGGAAUUAGGAUGUUACUUGCCAAAAAACAAAGCAAAAAAACAUUUUGAAAGAAAAGUACGAAGAGAGUGAAAGAUUACAGAAUAUCACAGGUUAACCGAGUUUUGUUUUGCUGGAAUGACAUGCUGGAUGAUCACAUUGAACAGAUUACAGAUUCACCAACCAAAGCUAUGAAUGCCAUUAAAAGACAAGGGAAGCACAGAGAACAAACACACUUGUAACUAGGAGAAAGAUAAGAACAUUAUUUUAUUCAACAACAAAGAAGGGACCUCCGGACUUACAUGCGGGUAUCUUAAUCAGACAAGCACAAGGACUCGGUUGAAUCAAUUAGGACACAAGUAUGAGCUUCUCUCACAGCAAGUUUAUGGUCCAAUUUUCCAGACUCAAUGAAUUUAAAUCCUCCAAAAGAAACACAUAAUGCUCUUGAACAUCCCCUGCACUCUUUUGUCCUCCAAUCAUGGCUGCAACAACCUCCCACCGUUUCAGGUGGUUCUCGUCUACCACGGCUAAAGCGAGCUCAAACAACUUGUUCUCCUUCCAACUCCACCCACACAAACCCUUAUGAAAAUCAUCCAUGUCACUAGUUCUGGAUGACAUCUUCAGAGGACUAUGAGGAUUUACCAUAAUUCAUUUACAUUAUGGUACUUUUGAAAGGCUAUUCAUAUCUCACAAAAAUUGCUUAUUCCUUGGGGCAGUCAUGCCUGCAAUCAAUGACCUGCAAAAUUGCCUUGUCUUUCGUUUCAUUACAAAGGGUACAUGAGAUUAAUUAUAAUUUCAACUUAUGAUGAUAAUAAAAGGUUGAUUCGUAUGUGCUGAAAGAAUUAGUAUCUCCAUUUUAUUUUAUUAAAUAGAGACAAAAUGAAGUACCUAACUAUUCAUUUCUUGCAAGAA